AAGACUGGAAUGAAUUCAAUGAUAUUAAU
Molecule: non-coding RNA, 29 nt
Filed under: Cricetulus griseus (Chinese hamster)
Lineage: Eukaryota; Metazoa; Chordata; Mammalia; Rodentia; Cricetidae
Source: RNAcentral